AUUGAACGCUGGCGGCAGGCCUAACACAUGCAAGUCGAGCGGAUGAAGGGAGCUUGCUCCUGGAUUCAGCGGCGGACGGGUGAGUAAUGCCUAGGAAUCUGCCUGGUAGUGGGGGAUAACGUCCGGAAACGGGCGCUAAUACCGCAUACGUCCUGAGGGAGAAAGCGGGGGAUCUUCGGACCUCACGCUAUCAGAUGAGCCUAGGUCGGAUUAGCUAGUUGGUGGGGUAAAGGCCUACCAAGGCGACGAUCCGUAACUGGUCUGAGAGGAUGAUCAGUCACACUGGAACUGAGACACGGUCCAGACUCCUACGGGAGGCAGCAGUGGGGAAUAUUGGACAAUGGGCGAAAGCCUGAUCCAGCCAUGCCGCGUGUGUGAAGAAGGUCUUCGGAUUGUAAAGCACUUUAAGUUGGGAGGAAGGGCAGUAAGUUAAUACCUUGCUGUUUUGACGUUACCAACAGAAUAAGCACCGGCUAACUUCGU
This 483-nucleotide ribosomal RNA is filed under the name uncultured bacterium. RNAcentral's name for it is "partial 16S ribosomal RNA". It matches the Rfam family "Bacterial small subunit ribosomal RNA", at positions 30 to 506 of the family's 1533-position model. The record is from RNAcentral.